Long non-coding RNA from Ostrea edulis (European flat oyster), 1401 nucleotides. RefSeq lists it as uncharacterized. The record is from RefSeq and is a predicted model, not a curated record. The transcript is spliced from 2 exons. NCBI's taxonomy places the organism in Eukaryota, Metazoa, Mollusca, Bivalvia, Ostreida, Ostreidae.
CCCAUGUCUCUACGACAAACCGUGCUCAAGCUCGACAUGUUUUACGAAUAAAUUGCAAAACAUAGAGAGGCAUUAACUCCCCUUAGGGGACACCGAAUCCCUUCAUUUUAAAUUCUUCGCUUCUACUAAUUACCCUCUAUGUUUUAGAAAAGGUUUCAUCCUCCUAUCAUUUACGGUUACAAAGUAGAAGUGCUAACAAUGAUUUCUGCGAAAGGUCAAAUAACUCCGUAAGAGGUCAAAGUUCAAUUACGCAGGGUGAACUGUAUUCGUUUCUCAAGAAGUACUAUAUGAUGGACUAUAAAGUUUUUCGAUAAGUCUUAAGACGAAAAUUUUUUUUGACGGCAGGAAAAUAAUAAUAAUAACUAGUGAUCCUAAUUGUUCGCGAACAAUUAGAGGGCUUCCCACCUUCUAGCGGUUUUUCAGUAGUGUUGAAAUGCUAAAAGCCCCCCCCCCCUACCCCAUCCCACCCUCACCCAAAAAAAAAAAAAAAAUUGAUUUGGCUAGAAAAGAAAUUCAAAUUUGCCGCCUAAAUUUGAGUGUUGAGGUGUGUUCAAUGCUUGGUUUCGCAUUAAGUACCCGUCAAAUUUGAGGGAGAAAAGGGGUGUGGGUGUUGGGUAGCCAGCACAUAUGCACAUAUCAGGUAAAAGUGUAAUGGGACUUGUGCAGGUGUUUGGGGUGACUUUAGACCUGUUAGAUGUGAUAUUUGGAGGUGCAAAGAAACCGGAUGUGCCAUUUUCCUAGAUUGUAGUAACUGCUGGUGCAUGCUGGGAGUCUAUACAAGCCUCAUGUUGUCAGAUGUUGUGAAGAUGCACUGGAUUUGACCGUGUGUGUUGUGGAUUGUGGAAUUGAAUAUACAGUUUGUAAUGGCUCAUCCUAUGUGUUCUAAUUCACGGAGACAAUGUCUUUCAGUCAUUUCACCCAAGGAGGCAUGCAUAUACGGAUUGAUAGGCUUUGACAACAAACAACCAAAAUGGCGGCCGGUGAAUUAGAAAGUGUCUGAGUGCAUGUAGGAUAUCUGAACGGAGAAUAGGAGUACUGCAUCCCAUCUGAUCCUGCAGUCAUUUCACCCAAGGAGGCAUGCAUAUACGGAUUUAUAGGCUUUGAUAACAAACAACCAAAAUGGCGGCCGGACUGAAUUAGAAAGUGUCUGAGUGCAUGUAGGAUAUCUGAACGGAGAAUAGGAGUACUGCAUCCCAUCUGAUCCUGCAGGUAAGUGUUUAUUUGUUUACAAUGACAGUCGGGAUGGAAUGUCAAUGAGUUCAACUGUCAAGUAAAGUUGCAUCAUCAUUAUAAAAAAAAAAACAACUUAGUCUUUAUGUUGAUGCAGACAGACAAUUGAAUCUGGCCUAUGUCUUUUCAUGAAUGUAAAUGGAAUUCAUGUUUGAUUGACAAGACAGUCAA